This 298-nucleotide long non-coding RNA is filed under the name Elaeis guineensis (African oil palm). RNAcentral describes it as "long non-coding RNA (EGUI_LNC027675)". The record is from RNAcentral. Lineage: Eukaryota; Viridiplantae; Streptophyta; Magnoliopsida; Arecales; Arecaceae.
AUAAGAGUCACAGUCUUCUUUUUUAUGUUGCAAUAGACCAAGCUCCAUCCCCAUGAAACAUUGGACCAGUUAACGCUGAUUGAACCUUCACAAUAAAAUGCAAGCACUAAAUAAAGUUUCAGCACUACUCCUUUUCCUUCAUAAAGCAUUUAGUGCAUGAUUGGAGUUGUCGAUAACAAGAUGCACUGUAGAUCAGGAGACUUUCAAAGGCAAGCCACUCAGCUCACCCAUUGCGCUGAUGACAUAAGGCCUUGCUGACCAUUGUUUUAAUUCCAACUCCAUUUGAAAAAGAGAGCAA